This 1912-nucleotide long non-coding RNA is filed under the name Homo sapiens (human). RNAcentral's name for it is "non-protein coding MAFTRR:15". The record is from RNAcentral. Lineage: Eukaryota; Metazoa; Chordata; Mammalia; Primates; Hominidae.
GCGGCGUCGCGGAGCUCGGGCCGGUGGAAGGUUUACCUGCUAGGCUCGUCCCACCUGUGUGGAGCUCCCAUCGCCCUCCAGCGUUGCGCAGCCUGAAGGGACAGGACGGACAAGCGGGUGCCUCCUUCUAAUUCAUCUUCACCAUUGUGGUUGUCAAUAUGGCAUGCAGAAUUAUCCCUCUUUCCAGGUUUUCCCCAAGGACCCUGGACAAUGCUGGUUUUUCCUAUGUGCACCACCAAAGGGCCUAUCCAGCUUCUGGAGUCUACCUGGAUUCCUGGGCUCAUGGCCCCUUCCUCCAUCUUCAAACCAGCAAUGAUUGGAACGACCUGGAGCAGCCAGCAGAGUGACAAAUGAGGAAGAGGACAGAAUCUAGCUGAAGAAGCUCUGGAAGAUACCAUUUGAAGUCUUGAGUGCUUGAACUCACAAAGAAAGCACAUGAGUACACACUAGCACUUGAGCUCUUCAUUUUAAACAGAAUAAAGAAUGUACUGCUAUUAUUGUCAUUUUACAGAUAGGGAAAUUCAGACUCACCAGGGCUACUCAGAUACAAAGAAAAUGAGCCAGAAUUUCAAGCAAGCCUGAGCUUAGAAUCUACACUAUUUUUUUUUUUUUUUUUGAGACAUGGUCUUACUUUGUCACCCAGGCUGGAGUUCAGUGGUAUUAGGUUGGCACAAAAGUAAUUGUGGUCUCUGCCACUUAAAACUAGAGCCCGAAACUGCAAUUACUUUUGCACCAACCUAAUGCACUUACCAGAGCUCACUUACGCCUUGACCUCCUGGGCUCAAGUGAUUCUCCCACCUCAGCCUCCCAAGUGGCUGGGAAUGUGGGCAUGCACCACCCUGCCCGGCUAGCUUUUCUUUCUUUUUUUUUUGUGGAGACAGGAUUUUGCCAUGUUGUCCCGGCUGGUCUUUAACUCCUGAGCUCAAACUAUCCUUCUGCCCUGGCCUCCCAAAGUUCUGGGAUUACAGGCAUGAGCCACUGUGCCCGGCCCAGAACCUAUGCUCCUAACUGCCACACCAAUUGACCUCUAUUCAGCCAUUUUUAUUUCUAUAGCACUUGGUAUAAUUUCACUUUGCACACAGUAUCUAUAGAUAAUCAUUCCAGGGCAUGUAAUCGUCAUAAGAUUAUUUAUGUUAUUGCAUGUGUAUUACUGCAUGUAAUCUUCAUGUGUUAUUGCCUCUAACAAGUUAUGUAUUUCCAUGUAGUCUUCAUAACUGUGUAUAGAAGACCAUUUUAGAGAUGGAAAACUGAGACUCAGAAGUGGUAAUUGUCCUACUGGUCAGAGAUUUAGCCAGGGUUUGGAUUGUGGAAUGCAGAGGACCACUUACUUUUCACUAGACCAUAAAUGCUCCUCACCACUGAGGCAUGUCAAAUGCCAGAUAUCUCCAGGAACCUUAGGCUACGUCUCCAUUGUUUUUGCUUUUUCCCCCCUUAGACACAGCUUGGCAAAGAACAAAUGAUCCCAAACACCAAACAGCACACUUGGAAACAUUUAACCCGCAUACUUUCAGACUUUCUGGCAUGGACCAACCUCUUGUCUUACCUUUGUUCCUGGCCAGAAAGAAAUGGCAUGAAAAGAUGGACAGUUUUUAUAACCUCUUUGAGCUCUAAACCAUGUUUCCUGUGCACUUAGGAGAUCUUAAUAGAAACCAAGUACUUCUUUUAGGCAUCUAUACUCUUAAUGCCGUAAGUCAAGUCAAGUACCCAGGUGGUUAAGAUAACUGUACCAACAGAAACAUUUUUAAAAAAUAUCCUAACACAACAUGAAGUGACCAUCGCGAAUUCAAAGAAGCAGGCAUAUUUCUUAAAGGUUGAAAAGAGGUGAGUCUUUCACAAGAUUCUAGCUCAAGGCCAUAUUUGCACAAGUAUAGUCAUUCCUCUAGCAAGGUUUUGUUUAUCUGGCCAUUAAAAA